UACGGGGGGGGCAAGCGUUGUUUGGAAUUACUGGGCGUAAAGGGCUCGUAGGCGGCCAACUAAGUCAGACGUGAAAUCCCCCGGCUUAACCUGGGAACUGCGUCUGAUACUGGAAGGCUUGAGUGCGGGAGAGGGAUGUGGAAUUCCAGGUGUAGCGGUGAAAUGCGUAGAUAUCUGGAGGAACACCGGUGGCGAAGGCGGCAUCCUGGACCGACACUGACGCUGAGGCGCGAAAGCUAGGGUAGCAAACGGG
Molecule: ribosomal RNA, 253 nt
Filed under: uncultured bacterium
Lineage: Bacteria
Description: partial 16S ribosomal RNA
Rfam family: Bacterial small subunit ribosomal RNA
Source: RNAcentral